RNAcentral lists this ribosomal RNA (478 nucleotides) under uncultured bacterium. RNAcentral describes it as "partial 16S ribosomal RNA". It matches the Rfam family "Bacterial small subunit ribosomal RNA", at positions 28 to 523 of the family's 1533-position model. The record is from RNAcentral.
GACGAACGCUGGCGGCGUGCUUAACACAUGCAAGUCGAACGGUAAGGCCCUUCGGGGUACACGAGUGGCGAACGGGUGAGUAACACGUGGGUGAUCUGCCCUGCACUUCGGGAUAAGCCUGGGAAACUGGGUCUAAUACCGGAUAGGACUCCGGACUGCAUGGUCUGGGGUGGAAAGCUUUUGCGGUGUGGGAUGGGCCCGCGGCCUAUCAGCUUGUUGGUGGGGUGAUGGCCUACCAAGGCGACGACGGGUAGCCGGCCUGAGAGGGUGACCGGCCGCACUGGGACUGAGAUACGGCCCAGACUCCUACGGGAGGCAGCAGUGGGGAAUAUUGCACAAUGGGCGCAAGCCUGAUGCAGCGACGCCGCAUGAGGGAUGACGGCCUUCGGGUUGUAAACCUCUUUCAGCAUCGACGAAGCGAAAGUGACGGUAGGUGCAGAAGAAGGACCGGCCAACUACGUGCCAGCAGCCGCCGCAG